ACUGGCAGCAAUCUCAUACCUCGGAUACUCGCCAGUGCUGGAGAGACAGGAGGCCAGUGGCAGGUACAGGAUCCACACACUGGGCGAGUCUGGUCUCGGCGCUUCAACCCUUACAACACAGACUACUU
This is a long non-coding RNA of Haliotis rubra (blacklip abalone), 128 nucleotides long. RefSeq lists it as uncharacterized. The record is from RefSeq and is a predicted model, not a curated record. The transcript is spliced from 3 exons. Lineage: Eukaryota; Metazoa; Mollusca; Gastropoda; Lepetellida; Haliotidae.